ACAUUGCUGUGAGGAAGCCUGGGCUACAUGGAGAAGCCCACAUGAAGAGGCCCAUGUGGAGAGGAACUGAGGCCCCGACAUUUGGCCCCAUCUGCGCUACCAGCUGAUAGCCAGCAUGAGCCUACCAGCCAGAUAUGAGGACAUGAAUUGCCUUGGACUUUUACCCUAAAGGUUGUGGAUCAGGAAACGUCCUAAACAAAGCACAGGGGAAUGGCACUAAUCUCACCAGUAAGGUGUGUAGCCAAACCAGCUGUUCCCUGUUAAGAGACGAGCUCUCCUUCUGUAGCCCAGAGUGGACUGCAGUAGUAUGAUCUUACUGCAGCGUCGAACUCCUGGGCUCAAGCGAUCCUCCUGCCUCAGCAUCCUAAGUACCUGGGACUACACGUGCACACCACCAUGCCUAGCUGGACUCUUUUUUCAAUAGAUACAAAUAAAUUUGUUUGUUUAA
Molecule: long non-coding RNA, 448 nt
Organism: Pongo pygmaeus (Bornean orangutan)
Lineage: Eukaryota; Metazoa; Chordata; Mammalia; Primates; Hominidae
Exons: 3
Source: RefSeq, a predicted model, not a curated record